Molecule: long non-coding RNA, 1163 nt
Filed under: Ananas comosus (pineapple)
Lineage: Eukaryota; Viridiplantae; Streptophyta; Magnoliopsida; Poales; Bromeliaceae
Description: long non-coding RNA (ACOM_LNC029265)
Source: RNAcentral
UAUAUGUUAGCUGCCUUUAGUGAGUUUUAACUAUAUCAUUAGGUGAAAAAAUUGAUGUUGCUACUGUUAGGAAAUUGCGUACGGUAAAACGCAGCGGAAAAAGAAAUCAAACAAAUUUGAUUUUUGAAAACUCUCGAGAUCUAAUCUCAAAACCACGCAAUUAGGAUCCCUCAUGUUCUUUAAGAUUAAAGGAGAAAAGUAAGAUCGAAUCAUUACCUUUUUCGCGGAUAAAUCCUUCCCUCAAUUUGAUGAUCGUGGAAUCGGGUUCUCUUGAAGCCGCACACGCGUCCGGCCUCUAUAGGUAUCCACACGAGGUUUUUGAUUUGAUCGAUGUCCUCACCGGGGUGCUAGCUCCCUUGCAAAAGGACGUCUUUCUUGCUAGAAGAUGGAAGAGAGAAGAGAGGAUAGAUGACGGCUAGGGUUUUCUAAAACUCCCGUAUAUUAUAUAUAGGAAUAUAAUCCUAUUCCUAAUAAUAUAAUGACAAUUAAGGAUAAGUAUAAAUCUAGAUUUAAAUUUAUCUUUUCCUUAAUUGGUUAGAUCGAUCAAAUCCUAAUUUGAUUCGACUUGAAUUUUAUAUUAAUUUGAUCUUAUCAAAUUAAUAAUGCAACAUUUUACUAACUAUUAGUAAGUCCUCUCUAGUAAAAUUUAUACUUUAAUACCACUAAUUUGUAACAAUUACAAAUUAGUCCAAUUAUCAACAUAUUGACAAUUAGGUCUUCUGGCGAUUCAAUAAUCGCGAUCUAGCUAUCCGAUCAAUCACAACCUCUUAUGUGUGUGACCCCAUAGGUUCUAUUCUAUCUGGUAGUGAGAUAUAUUUUGAUCACUAUCAACAAUAUCACUGAAACUCCUUUCAAUGGAUUAAAACAAUUCCAACUCAGCCCAAUGAAAAUUAUCGAUCAUCUAGAUAAUUCUCAUGAGUCUCACAAUCCACCAGUGACGCCUAGCAGCAUGUAGUGGCAUUCCAGUAGAAUGGAAUACUGAACCUCUUGGUGCAGUUACCGUGUGAUACAAUCCUUCUAUCAUGAGUCCCGACUAGACGGAGGUUAUGGAAUAACUCGUCAAACCCCAACGUCUGUCAUAUGUUAAAUUUAUUCGACUCGAGUUUCUAAUAUCGGAAACCCUUUUCCGCUAUUUAUUCUGCCCUGGCCAAGGUCUUCUAAAC